Molecule: ribosomal RNA, 490 nt
Filed under: uncultured Lachnospiraceae bacterium
Lineage: Bacteria; Bacillati; Bacillota; Clostridia; Lachnospirales; Lachnospiraceae
Description: partial 16S ribosomal RNA
Source: RNAcentral
CACGUAGUUAGCCGGGGCUUCUUACUCAGGUACCGUCUUUUUUCUUCCCUGCUGAUAGAGCUUUACAUACCGAAAUACUUCUUCACUCACGCGGCGUCGCUGCAUCAGGGUUUCCCCCAUUGUGCAAUAUUCCCCACUGCUGUCUCCCGUAGGAGUUUGGGCCGUGUCUCAGUCCCAAUGUGGCCGGUCACCCUCUCAGGCCGGCUACCGAUCGUCGCCUUGGUGGGCUCUUAUCCCGCCAACUAGCUAAUCGGACGCGGGUCCAUCGUAUACCACCGGAGUUUUUCGCACCCGGCCAUGCGGCCUUUGUGCGCUUAUGCGGUUUUAGCACCUAUUUCUAAGUGUUAUCCCCCUGUAUACGGCAGGUUGCCCGCGCGUUACUCACCCGUCCGCCACUCGUGAGAGCUUCACUAGGUUUCCGCUCUCACCCGUUCGACUUGCAUGCGUUAAGCACGCCGCCAGCGUUCAUCCUGAGCCACGGAUCAAACUC